AUCAAUAUUGGGAAGACAAAAAGUGAAGACUGAGGAAAGAAUUGGGGUGGGAGGUUGAGGGUCUGGGAACCCCGGAGAGAGGGAAGAAAUGAGAGGAAUAAAACUGGGGACCUGAGGCAGCAGGGAGCUCAGAGGUUAAACGGGAGCCACGGUAGAGGAGUAAAGGGGCUGAGUGCAGGGUCAGAGGAAGGGGUCGUUUUAUAAAAAAAAAAAUGGGAGCCGGAAAAAGGAAGCCCAUUGGAAAAUGGAGGAUGAAAACGAAAAUGCUGUGGUUAUAAGGGGUAGAGGGCAAGGGGCAAACAGCCAGAGAAAAAGAGUGGGGUUCCAAAAGUGGACCAGCCAGAUGAACUUGAGUGUGACCCAGGAAACAGGGAACAGAAGUGAAAGCAGGCAGAGGUAAAAUGAAGGGCUGGAGAAACAAGCUGGUAAAAAACACACACACAACAUGGAGUGAAAAUUGCUCAGUCGUGUCCGACUUUUGGGGACCCCAUGGACACAGUCCAUGGAAUUCACCAGGCCAGAAUACUGGAGUGGGUAGCCUUUCCUGUCUCCAGAGGAUCUUCCCGACCCAGGGAUCGAACCCUGGUCUCCCGCAUUGCAGGCGGAUUCUUGACCAGCUGAGCCACAAGGGAAGCCCCAGCACAUGGAGAGACUGGAUUAAAACGAACGUGGGAAACAGGUGACAGUAGGAAACAUGGAUUUGGUUAGAAGGUUCUGAUAAGUAUAUCUCCUGGUCUCCAGUUCAUAAUUCAUUCAGGGCUCAGAUAUACGUGACAGCAGUCACAGCUCAGCUGGACAAGGGUUUAUCAUGUUUGGCACCAUGACCCUGAAGCUCCCAUUUGCAAGGGGAAAAUCCUUUCUUGAAGAUUUCCUAUCAUCAGGUGUGCACGCAAGAGAAGAGGAAGUCACGGGGAGCAUUUCCGUCAUCUUGCAAAUCUUUGUCUGCCUUCCAGGAAUUUCAUCUCCAGGAGAGCAAAAAUCCACAGGUGAACUCUGAUGAUGCCCUGGUCUGGAACCAUUCUACAGAGAAUGAAAGGCCCAGGCAGCAGCUGGCAUCUAACUGAACAGCUGACAUCUUUUUUCCUUCCACUAGAGAA
Long non-coding RNA from Dama dama (fallow deer), 1097 nucleotides. RefSeq lists it as uncharacterized. NCBI's taxonomy places the organism in Eukaryota, Metazoa, Chordata, Mammalia, Artiodactyla, Cervidae. The record is from RefSeq and is a predicted model, not a curated record. The transcript has 4 exons.